RNAcentral lists this ribosomal RNA (159 nucleotides) under Symphyotrichum anticostense. RNAcentral describes it as "5.8S ribosomal RNA". It matches the Rfam family "5.8S ribosomal RNA". From Rfam's summary of the family: 5.8S ribosomal RNA (5.8S rRNA) is a component of the large subunit of the eukaryotic ribosome. It is transcribed by RNA polymerase I as part of the 45S precursor that also contains 18S and 28S rRNA. Functionally, it is thought that 5.8S rRNA may be involved in ribosome translocation. The record is from RNAcentral. Lineage: Eukaryota; Viridiplantae; Streptophyta; Magnoliopsida; Asterales; Asteraceae.
CGACUCUCGGCAACGGAUAUCUCGGCUCACGCAUCGAUGAAGAACGUAGCAAAAUGCGAUACUUGGUGUGAAUUGCAGAAUCCCGUGAACCAUCGAGUUUUUGAACGCAAGUUGCGGCCGAAGCCAUUCGGUUGAGGGCACGUCUGCCUGGGCGUCACG